GGGGGAAAAUUAAUUAAAUUUAAAUUAAUAAAAUAAAUUUUAAUAUUAAAAUAAAAUAAUGGGGGUUAAAGUAUUUUAAUAGAAAAAAUUUAUAAAUUUAUAGUUAAAUAGUAUUGUAGAAGAAAUUUUAAAUAUAUGAAAAUUAAUUAAUAAAAAAGAAAAUUUAGUUUAUUGUAUCUUGUGUAUCAGAGUUUAUUAAAAAUAUUUUUUUUUAUAAAAAAAUCUCGAAUUUAAAAGAGUUAAUUAAUUAUAAAAGUUAAUGUAACAUAAUUAUUUUAAAUAAUUGAUUGGAAAUGAAAUGUUAAUCGUUUUUAAAUAUAUCUAGUUUUUUUAGAAAAAAAUUUAAUUUUAAAUUAAAAUAAUUUUAUAAUUUAUUAAUUAAUUAUAAAAAUUUUAAGUUUAAUAUUUUAAGGGAUAAGCUUUAAAUUAAAAAAUUAUAAUAAAAUAAUUUAAAUUAAAAUUUUUAAAAUUUAUAUUGUUUAAAAAUUAUAAUUUAUUAUAAAAAAUUUUAAUAAAAAUAAAAUUUAAUAAAAAUUUAAUUUUUUAUAAAAAAAUAAUUUUUAAUUAUAAAAGAUUAGUAAUAAUGAUAAAAUUAGUAUAAAUUAUAAAUAAAAAUUUAUAAAAUUAAUAAAAUAUAAAUUUAAUUAAAAGGAAUUCGGCAAAUUUAAAUAUUCACUUGUUUAUCAAAAACAUGUCUUUUUGAAAAUAAUUUAAAGUCUAAUCUGCCCACUGAUUUUAUUAAAGGGCUGCAGUAUAUUGACUGUACAAAGGUAGCAUAAUCAUUAGUUUUUUAAUUGGAAACUUGUAUGAAAGAUUUAAUGAAAUAUUAACUGUCUCUUAAUUAUUAUUAAAACUUUAUUUUUUAGUAAAAAAGCUAAAAUAAAUUUAAAAGACGAGAAGACCCUAUAGAGUUUUAUAUUUAAUUUUAUUUUGAAAAUAUAUAAAAUUUAAUAUAAAAUAAAGUUAAAUAUUAUAUUGGGGUGAUAGAAAAAUUUAAUAAACUUUUUUUAAAUUAUAAACAUAAAUAAAUGAAUAAAUGAUCCAUAAAUAAUGAUUAUAAGAAAAAAUUACCUUAGGGAUAACAGCGUAAUAUUUUUUUUUAGUACAAAUAAAAAAAAAAGUUUGCGACCUCGAUGUUGGAUUAAGAUAAAAUUUAAACGCAAAAGUUUAAAAUUUUGAUCUGUUCGAUCAUUAAAAUCUUACAUGAUCUGAGUUCAAACCGGUGUGAGCCAGGUUGGUUUCUAUCUUUAAAAAAUUAAAAUAUUUUAGUACGAAAGGAUUAAAUAUUAAAAAUAAUUUUAUUUUAAGAAUAUUAUUAAUAAAUUAUAUA
Molecule: ribosomal RNA, 1330 nt
Filed under: Mycalesis francisca (lilacine bushbrown)
Lineage: Eukaryota; Metazoa; Arthropoda; Insecta; Lepidoptera; Nymphalidae
Description: 16S ribosomal RNA
Source: RNAcentral